UCAAGCAAGCCUGGGACUGGGGGUGGAGGGGGAGGGGUCCUUGGCUCUAGCGAGCUUGGGACCCGUGGGGGUGUCCCGGGCUCGAGCGAGCCUGGGACCGAGGGAGGAGGUCAUGGGCUCGAUCGAGCCUGUGACUGAGGGAGGAGGUCAUGGGAUCGAGCGAGCCUGGGACCGGGUUGGGGGAGGUCCUGUGCUCGAGCGAGCAUGGGACCAAAGUAUCAAAUAUUACUGGAAAAUUCCUCUAAUUGAUGUUGCUUUAUCUUCUUUGAAAGUUGUUCCUGGAUUUUGAGCGCACACAUAUUUAAAGACUAAAGGACCUACUUGGUCCUAUCUAGGCCAUGACAAUCUACUUCCCAGAGGAAAUAAUUGUGGACAUCAUUACCAGUACUGGUGCUGGCCAUUUACUGAGGAACAGUAGAACCUCCUAAUCAUGAAUGUCCAGACGCAACUCGUAGCACUUACGGAUUGGCGUUUGACUCAAUUAAUGAUGACUAUAAGAUUCGUAAGAUUGACAAUCCACACCACUCAAAAUCUUUGCACUAAAGAGUGGUUGUGGAGAAGUAUUGAUAACCAUCCUCGUGGCUUUGACAAUAGUGUGUGAUGAAGACUCUUUGGCGUUUUGUUCGUGUUUCAUUGGAUCUGUAAGGAUAAUUCAUCCAAGUAUUUUAUGAUUUUAUUUAAUAUAUCAAAUGAGGUGUACAGGGAAAUAUUGUUGCCGGAGAGAAUAUGCAAUUUUCCCGGCAGUCGGAGAUAUCAAAUGGAAUGCUUUGUGCUUAUUGUACUCGCCGAUGGGUAAUAAAAAACUAUGGUGUCGAGGAAUCUUGGACUGAAUUAUUUAGUAUAUGAGAGCCCGAUCUACAUUUAGUCAUACCA
Capsicum annuum is the source of this 873-nucleotide long non-coding RNA. RefSeq lists it as uncharacterized. The transcript has 2 exons. The record is from RefSeq and is a predicted model, not a curated record. Lineage: Eukaryota; Viridiplantae; Streptophyta; Magnoliopsida; Solanales; Solanaceae.